This 465-nucleotide ribosomal RNA is filed under the name uncultured Klebsiella sp. RNAcentral's name for it is "bacterial SSU rRNA". It matches the Rfam family "Bacterial small subunit ribosomal RNA", at positions 338 to 795 of the family's 1533-position model. The record is from RNAcentral. Lineage: Bacteria; Pseudomonadati; Pseudomonadota; Gammaproteobacteria; Enterobacterales; Enterobacteriaceae.
CCUACGGGCGGCUGCAGUGGGGAAUAUUGCACAAUGGGCGCAAGCCUGAUGCAGCCAUGCCGCGUGUGUGAAGAAGGCCUUCGGGUUGUAAAGCACUUUCAGCGGGGAGGAAGGCGUUAAGGUUAAUAACCUUGGCGAUUGACGUUACCCGCAGAAGAAGCACCGGCUAACUCCGUGCCAGCAGCCGCGGUAAUACGGAGGGUGCAAGCGUUAAUCGGAAUUACUGGGCGUAAAGCGCACGCAGGCGGUCUGUCAAGUCGGAUGUGAAAUCCCCGGGCUCAACCUGGGAACUGCAUUCGAAACUGGCAGGCUAGAGUCUUGUAGAGGGGGGUAGAAUUCCAGGGGGAGCGGGGAAAUGCGUAGAGAUCUGGAGGAAUACCGGUGGCGAAGGCGGCCCCCUGGACAAAGACUGACGCUCAGGUGCGAAAGCGUUGGGAGCAAACAGGAUUAGAUACCCGUGUAGUC